This 253-nucleotide ribosomal RNA is filed under the name uncultured bacterium. Its description in RNAcentral is "partial 16S ribosomal RNA". It matches the Rfam family "Bacterial small subunit ribosomal RNA", at positions 524 to 776 of the family's 1533-position model. The record is from RNAcentral.
UACGGAGGGGGCUAGCGUUGUUCGGAAUUACUGGGCGCAAAGCGCACGUAGGCGGUUACUCAAGUCAGAGGUGAAAGCCCGGAGCUUAACUCCGGAAUUGCCUUUGAAACUAGGUGACUUGAAUCCAGGAGAGGUGAGUGGAAUUCCGAGUGUAGAGGUGAAAUUCGUAGAUAUUCGGAAGAACACCAGUGGCGAAGGCGGCUCACUGGACUGGUAUUGACGCUGAGGUGCGAAAGCGUGGGGAGCAAACAGG